GUCGCUGAACUGAGCGAUGGCCACCUAGAGAGGCAGAGACAGUCAGACAGUCAGACAGACAGACAAGAUAAGUUCAAAUCUGACGACGAAUCAAAUUAUUCAAAGUUGACUGCCUAUCUUCUCGACCCCUGAUUCGCUCUGACCUCCAGUGGGUGUACGCUCUGACCCAUGACUCACCUGGGUGCCGUCUGGUCCGAUCAGAUCCAGCGAUCCCACGGUGCUGUAGAGAAAACGUGUGAUCUUCAUGAAGUUGUCAUCUCCGAUGGACCAAGAGCCGUCUACCAGGAACGUCAGAUGGAGGCAUGGGUCUGACAAAGGUCAGAAACUGAGACAGAAAUGCUAACAGACGGGCUCAGCGGGUGUGUCCAUGCUCUUUUACCUGAGCCCACCAGACAGGAACAGACGAGGAGGAUCGUCUGAGUGGGAGGUGGAGGGUCGGACUGUGAACUUGUACCCUUUUUGAUUCUAAUCCAAUUUGGAAAAAAAUGUGGGGGAAAGUGAGAAUAUUUUGUCUUAUUUCAUGAGUCACUUCCUUUUGCAGCUUAAAUUGAAGGUUUAAAAUAAAGGGUAAUCAUUGGACAUUAAGUUGCUUUGGUCAAAGUUUGGCCUUACUAUUUUAGUUGGUAGGUCAUUUCAACAGCAUUUAUAAGAACAUUACAUUUACAGGUCAUUUAGCUCAAUGGGGAAAAUUAGAAACAGUUUGUUACUGUCAGGAUUUAAGCUUCCUUGAUGUUUGGGAAGACUGCAUGCUUACACUGUAGUUACAGUGUAUUAGAGUCACCUGUCAAACUUAGGUGUAUGUGUGUAUGUUGGAGCCAUUGUGCCCAGUUUGUGACUGGUAGCUGGACUGAGCCUGAGGUAAUAAGCUGCUAAACCAGGAUCUUCAUUUUAGCAUAGGCUGCAGCCCACCCUCGCCCCGGUAAAGGCCAUUCAAUUAAGUCAUUGUGGAAAAUGUCUCAGAGACUUCCUGUGUGAGACAUUUAAGUGUUAACCUUUUUCACUUUUCUACUUUGCUUUCUUUGAAUUUACUCUCCCUAAUUUUGUUAAAAUGAUC
Acanthopagrus latus (yellowfin seabream) is the source of this 1054-nucleotide long non-coding RNA. RefSeq lists it as uncharacterized. The record is from RefSeq and is a predicted model, not a curated record. The transcript is spliced from 3 exons. NCBI's taxonomy places the organism in Eukaryota, Metazoa, Chordata, Actinopteri, Spariformes, Sparidae.